Molecule: long non-coding RNA, 252 nt
Organism: Carassius carassius (crucian carp)
Lineage: Eukaryota; Metazoa; Chordata; Actinopteri; Cypriniformes; Cyprinidae
Exons: 2
Source: RefSeq, a predicted model, not a curated record
AGAAAUAUGGUAUUCAUUUAGAGGUCUGUCCUUCUGUCCCGUCUGGAUGGCAAAAGUUAAAGCGCAGGAACAUUCCGUGUUGAGUGGUGGAAAGGUCUCCGCUUUGUCAAACGAUCACUAAUCACCCUCUGUUUAUCUCACAAACCACCUAGAUUGUAAAUAUCAGUUCUGUCUGCUGACUUGUGUACUUUGGUUUUGAAAUCAUGCUCUCAAGACUGCUGCUGUGACAUCUCAAAUAAAGGAAUGGCUUCA